RNAcentral lists this ribosomal RNA (253 nucleotides) under uncultured bacterium. RNAcentral describes it as "partial 16S ribosomal RNA". It matches the Rfam family "Bacterial small subunit ribosomal RNA", at positions 524 to 776 of the family's 1533-position model. The record is from RNAcentral.
UACGAAGGGGGCUAGCGUUGUUCGGAUUUACUGGGCGUAAAGCGCACGUAGGCGGAUUGUUAAGUCAGGGGUGAAAUCCUGGAGCUCAACUCCAGAACUGCCUUUGAUACUGGCAAUCUAGAGUCCGGAAGAGGUGAGUGGAACUCCUAGUGUAGAGGUGGAAUUCGUAGAUAUUAGGAGGAACACCAGAGGCGAAGGCGACUGGCUGGCCAUAUGCUGACACUGAGGCGCGAAGGCGUGGGGAGCAAACCGG